CCUGAGGCCUGCUGGACCAUGGAGGCCCACUCUGACCCUUUUUUUAAAUUUAGACACAGGGUCUCGUGGGUUGCUGAGGGCCUCACUAAAUUGUUGAGGCUGGCCUCCAACUCAUGAUCCCAAGUCUCAGCCUCCCGAGUCAUUGGGGCAUGUGAACAAGGGGACACUCCCAGCAGGAGGAAGGCCAGGCUGCAGGCCAGCACAUCUCUGGGGAUGAGCCUGAGCAGAAACAAGACCAUGAAUGAGCAGUUUGUAAAAGUUGCCUUUAUUUAUCAUUUAUCCAUCGUAUCUCAGUUAUGCCAUUUUGGUGUCCACAGUGACAGUCCCCUGGAAGCUGGGUCAGCCCCUGCCCAUCCACCCACUGUGAUCACUGCCCACGGGCUGGAAGCCCAGGCCACAUGGGGCCAGCAGGACCACAAGCUCCUCUGAAGUCUGGCUCUCUCCAGGCACAGCCUGGGAGCCAGGGACUGGGCCUGUCUGCCAGAGGCCAUGGAGUCCCCUGCAGUGGCUUGGGAGGCCCUGCCCUCUAACAGGAGCAGGAGAGGUAUAGCAGAGGCCCCCAUGGGCUGGGAGGCAGCUGGUGGUGAGGCUGCCCUGCUGGGGACUGGGUCUAGACAAGGCCACAUGGGAGAAGGUGCU
This 639-nucleotide long non-coding RNA is filed under the name Marmota monax (woodchuck). Lineage: Eukaryota; Metazoa; Chordata; Mammalia; Rodentia; Sciuridae. The record is from RNAcentral.